CAUUACUGAAAGGACCAAGGAUUUGAGACUGCGUUCAAUGUAACGUGUGCUCGAUCCUUAUUCUUUUUAUCCACAUACACCUUUGUGCACCAUAAGGGGGAGGAUGUCAAAGUUCUCUUCUUUUUUCACAUAAACACGUAGUUAUAUGCAUGUAUAAUAGUUAUAACUCUAAGGAGUUUAUCUAUAACUUUCAACAACGGAUCUCUUGGCUUUCGCAUCGAUGAAAAACGCAGCGAAUGUGCGAAACGUAAUGUGAAUUGCAGAAUUCAGUGAAUCAUCGAAUCUUUGAACGCAUCUUGCGCUCCUUGGUAUUCCGAGGAGCAUGCCUGUUUGAGUGUCGCAUCAUACUCAGUUUCAAACCUUUGUUUUAAAGGUCUUGGAACUGGAUUUGGAUGUUGUUGUUGUCAAAGACGACUCGUCCUAAAUGCAUUAGUGAUCUGGCUAUUGAUCAUGAGCAAUGUAAUAAUUUAUUAACGUUGUCAAGAUCAACGGUAAAGAUGGCUUCUAACUGUCGAAAGACAAAAUGCUUUAUAUGCGGUUUGACCUCAAAUCAGGUAGGACUACCCGCUGAACUUA
RNAcentral lists this ribosomal RNA (576 nucleotides) under Geastrum argentinum. Its description in RNAcentral is "eukaryotic LSU rRNA". The stretch from base 186 to 340 matches the Rfam family "5.8S ribosomal RNA". The record is from RNAcentral. Lineage: Eukaryota; Fungi; Basidiomycota; Agaricomycetes; Geastrales; Geastraceae.